RNAcentral lists this long non-coding RNA (910 nucleotides) under Phasianus colchicus (ring-necked pheasant). RNAcentral's name for it is "lncRNA (ENSPCLG00000003515.1)". The record is from RNAcentral. Lineage: Eukaryota; Metazoa; Chordata; Aves; Galliformes; Phasianidae.
CUCAAAUAAAGGAGUCUGGCAUUCUUCUGUCAGUGAUGCGUAUUUGCAAAUCAUGGAGAGAAGGAAAGGAGAAAGAGCUGCUCAAAUGAGGAAAAGUGGCAGACAAUGCUGAUGUUCAGUAGCAAGGUAGACACCAGCUCUUUUUUGUAAUUCUUAUGUUACAGUGCAUCUGUGCGUAUUUCAGUCUGCAGUUGGUGGCACUGAAGGAAUUGCUGUCAUGACCUUGGGGCAGUGCAGAUAUUCUCCAUGGAAACAUUGUCCAUCUUUUAAAACUAAGCAUGAAAUGCCUGAUAUGCCAAGAAUGGCAGGGAGGUCGCUGGCUUGAAUAAGAGUGGAGAGGAUUUGGGGACAGUGAAUGCUUCCACAACUACUGUACAAAUAACACCCAAUAUUCAAGUUUGCCAGGAUGGAGUAUAUCACAGCUUUGAAGUUGCUUGAUGGGUUGGUUGGCCAAUGUACAGGAAGGUACACAAGGUGCCUGGGAGUCAAAGUAAGACCAAGCUGUGAGGAAGGUCCCAUGGCAGCAGAGGGCCAGGUGAGGGGUAAGCUAGGAAAAAGCAACAAGGCUUGUAAUGGUAAUUUUCUUGACCUACUUUAUUCAUCCAUUUUGCACUUUGCAAGCAGGGCUCCUAGCAACAGUGCUGCAGAUGCCUCCUGAUGCAUCGUGGUGGAGACAGCAUUAGGUGGUUAUAUGCUGCUGUUCCUCACCCUAAGCAAAGCAACUUGGCAGCUGUUUAACUGGGCUGUAGCCAGAAAGCCUUCCUCUGUCAUCCAUGCACUCUCAGUCAUUCAUGAAUUCUGUACAGAAGUGUGUAGUAGAACAACUGUGUUACUUUAGGAUAUUUACAGUAACCAUGUUUGUGAUGAAAAAUUAAAUAAAAUAAUAUGCCCCAUGAUAAAAUAAGUAAGG